AAUGUGAAUAUCAAUGAAUUAUUUAUUAUAAAGCCAGAAGAUCCUUCAAGGGGCCAUUAAUCCCUUAUCGAGUCUUAUUCAAUACCAUUUUAUUGAUGAAACAGAAAGUUUGAGGAGAAAGAAGAGACAUCCCUAUGUGCCCAAUUAGGAUUAAAAUAAAUUUGGGGAUAAUAUAGCCAUCACAGCCCGUAGUGAGGCAUAUUUGGACUAAUGAUUAAAGAGUAGACUGCAGAACACACUGAGGUUUAAGACUUGAGACCAUCCAACAUCACCUCAGAGAGUUGUUCUCCCAAAGGAUAAUGAUGGCAGUGUGUGAUGAGUAAUAAAAGUCAGAAUAGAGUUUUGUAAUGCUGCUUCCCAUCUCACCCCUGUACCUUAAAUGGACUGCCUUAAGCAAGUCAUUCUUCUUCUUCUCUGCCUCUAGGUAAGCUCACCUUCCCACAGGAGGGAGCUGGACUGUUUGAUGUGGAAGGUCCCUUCUAGUGGUAAAAAUAUGUGAUUCUCUCCUCUAAAGGAGACUUUUUGCUCCUCUCACAUGUGUAGGGAUCCUGACAGAGUCAUGCUUGGGUCAUGUGGGGGAGGAAAAGGUGGUGUGCCACAGGGAUGGAUUUUCCUAGCCCUUACCAGCACAGUCCAGGUUUCUGAAUCCAUGCCUAGAGGUGGGGCAGGGAGGGCUUUCCCUGCACCCACACAUAUUAUGAUUAAGGUUGGGGUGGGAAGCUAUUGAGUGCAAACAGAAACUUUCAGUUUUAUUUCCAGCCCAGCCUUCCUCUGGCCUGACUCACUCGGUGAUGCCACAGUCUCAUGUUUGUGACCUAACACAGUGGAUCACCAUGGAACUCACACAGACCCUAGACUGUUGAGGAGCACCAACGGAGAUGAGCUGGACAGUUCCGGAAAAAGAAAUAAACCUGAUUUUGACACACAGAGAGGCCACAUUUCAAAUCUGGACUCCCAAGUCCUCAUGUGGGCACUUCCACCGCUGAUAAAAAUGGACACCUGGAUACCUCAGGGUCUAUUGGAGCACCCAAGUUUGGAUUUAAGGAAAAGAAGACAGACGCUGGCAACGGACAGCGUACCAGUGAGGGCCCAGCAACAGCAGGCUGCCUCUGCAGACAAGACAGGAGAAGUCCAUCAAAUACCCUAUUUUAAGAAGAGGAAGCUGUUCUAGGGAGCAAGAAGUCUGAGAUGUUUCCAUGAGUUCUCAGGCUCAUUCUGAAAUGGGCAUCACCUCUGCUUAUCUAUUUGCCCAAAUCCACCACCAUUAAGAAAAAGCUUGUUCCCUUAGUCCUGUGAUUCAGUGUCAUCAUUUAAGUGCUGUGUUAGAGAGUGAUGGUGUACAUGACCUGAACUAUCUAGGCACUUAUUAGGAGGGCUAUUUUUCUUAGUAUUUGGCAAACAUAACUUCUCUAAUUUGAUGACAGUGAGAACCAUGUUGUUCUAGACUCAUUUGUUCUACAACUGCCCAUUAAAUACCUCUUAUCUUCAAUGGAGUAGUUUGGUGGAUACAAAUGCAGGUCUGGAGUCAGGAAGACUCAUCUCAGUUCAAAUCCAGCCUCAGACACCUAUCAGUUAGGUGAUUCUGCCCUGGGCAAAUCUUUUAACCCUAUUUGCCUCAGUUUCCUCAUUUAUAAAAUGAAUUGGAGAAAGAAAUGGCAAACUACUCCAGUACCUUUGCCAAGAAGAUUCUGAAGGGGGUAAUGAAAAGUUGGACACAACUGAUCAACUAAACCAUAAUUAGAAAUCUUCAGUAGAUACUAAAGGAUAUAUACAAAGAUAAAUUGGGCACGUUCCUAUCCUCAACAAGUUUAUUAUCUAGUAUGGUAGAUAAAGCAUGUAUACAGAUAAUUAUAUGGGGAAAAGGAUUUCUUAGGGGAGAAGGUCCUAUGUAACUUCAGGUUACACUAAAUCUUGAGGUGCCUGUCAAUGCCUCUCCCCCCUUUCACCCUGAUUUAAUAUCUGUAAGUUAGAGUUUUUCUUACAACUAUAAUAUACUGUAGGCUAUGAUCAUGCAAAUUCAAUAAUCAUUUAUUAAGAUUCUUUUUUAUAUAAAGCAUCUGAAAUAGUAUAAGAUGGCAGAGUAUUGAAUCUGGAGUUAGAAAAAAAAUCUAGAAUCCCCUGUUGACUAAUACUAACUCUGUGACCAUGAGGGAGAUGACUUAACUUUUCUG
This 2171-nucleotide long non-coding RNA is filed under the name Monodelphis domestica (gray short-tailed opossum). Its description in RNAcentral is "lncRNA (ENSMODG00000031663.2)". The record is from RNAcentral. Lineage: Eukaryota; Metazoa; Chordata; Mammalia; Didelphimorphia; Didelphidae.